This 465-nucleotide ribosomal RNA is filed under the name Vreelandella stevensii. RNAcentral's name for it is "partial 16S ribosomal RNA". It matches the Rfam family "Bacterial small subunit ribosomal RNA", at positions 338 to 795 of the family's 1533-position model. Lineage: Bacteria; Pseudomonadati; Pseudomonadota; Gammaproteobacteria; Oceanospirillales; Halomonadaceae. The record is from RNAcentral.
CCUACGGGGGGCAGCAGUGGGGAAUAUUGGACAAUGGGGGGAACCCUGAUCCAGCCAUGCCGCGUGUGUGAAGAAGGCCCUCGGGUUGUAAAGCACUUUCAGUGAGGAAGAACGCCUGGUGGUUAAUACCCAUCAGGAAAGACAUCACUCACAGAAGAAGCACCGGCUAACUCCGUGCCAGCAGCCGCGGUAAUACGGAGGGUGCGAGCGUUAAUCGGAAUUACUGGGCGUAAAGCGCGCGUAGGUGGCUUGAUAAGCCGGUUGUGAAAGCCCCGGGCUCAACCUGGGAACGGCAUCCGGAACUGUCGAGCUAGAGUGCAGGAGAGGAAGGUAGAAUUCCCGGUGUAGCGGUGAAAUGCGUAGAGAUCGGGAGGAAUACCAGUGGCGAAGGCGGCCUUCUGGACUGACACUGACACUGAGGUGCGAAAGCGUGGGUAGCAAACAGGAUUAGAUACCCCAGUAGUC